This 5528-nucleotide long non-coding RNA is filed under the name Triticum aestivum (bread wheat). Its description in RNAcentral is "long non-coding RNA (TAES_LNC009669)". The record is from RNAcentral. Lineage: Eukaryota; Viridiplantae; Streptophyta; Magnoliopsida; Poales; Poaceae.
GAUCCGUGUCCUGAACUUCGAUGUUGGUGAUGAUUAUGUUGAACUUGAUGGUAUCUCUUUGCUUCUGUUACAAAGUGAAUGUUUCCUCUUUAAGCUAGCCAACGUUGAUGAUGAAUUACAUAGCUAGCGGUAAUGACUAUGAUGAUUAAAUAGUGGUAAUUAGACGACCACGAUGAUUUUUAGCUAGCUAGAGUUUAUUUAUUUAUUAAUAUGCGAUGAUGAUGAUGAUGAUGACGACUACAACUCAUUAUAACGUAAAACAAUCCUAAAUUAAAUUGAUAACACAAAUUUAAUUGAAAAAUACAAAAUAAAACAAAAACCCACAACCAUUUAGUACCGGUUGGUUUUACCAACCGGUACUAAAGGGCUCCCGGCCCCCGGAGCUGGCUCGUGCCACGUGGUACCCCUUUAGCACCGGUUCGUGCUGAACCGGUACUAAAGGGGGGGGGGCCUUUAGUGCCGAAAUAAUAGUGCCGGUUCCUAAACCGGCACUAAAGGGCCUUACGAACCGGUGCUAUUGCCCGGUUUUCUACUAGUGUAUACAUACCAAAUCCGAAUCAUAGACAGGACGAGGGCCGACGGGGGCGGAUACCAAAACCAUCUCACUAUAUAAGAUGCAAUAAUAAAUGUAAGAAAAUAAUACAAGUAUCUAUCUAAACAUACAAGUAAGAAUAUUUUUCCUUUCAGAAAGAAGAUAAGAACAAGAGGCUCACCACGGUGGUGUCGGUGAUGAGAUCGGCGCGGGUGAUCGACGGCGGUGAAGAUGGGGACGGGGCGUGACGGACCGCUAAAUCUAGACAAAUCUCGAGGAAAAUGGAGCUUGGAGGUCGAGCUUCGAGAGGAGAAAGCUUAAGUAGUGACGGGUCACAGUGGAGAAAAAUCAAGAGAAAGUACUGGGAUGAGUUUGCAAAGGACCCAAGGAAUGUAUGGUUUUCUUUAAGCACGGAUGGCAUUAAUCCUUUCAGGGAGCAGAGCAGCAAUCACAACACCUGGCCCGUGACUCUAUGUAUGUAUAACCUUCCUCCUUGGAUGUGCAUGAAGCGGAAGUUCAUUAUGAUGCCAGUUCUCAUCCAAGGCCCUAAGCAACCCGGCAACGAAAUUGAUGUGUACCUAAGGCCAUUAGUUGAAGAACUUUUACAGCUGUGGAAUGGAAACGGUGUACGUACGUGGGAUGAGCACAGACAGGAGGAAUUUAACCUUAAGGCGUUGCUGUUCGUGACCAUCAACAAUUGGCCCGCUCUCAGUAACCUUUCAGGACAGACAAACAAAGGAUACCACGCAUGCACGCACUGUUUAGAUGACACUGAAAGUAUAUACCUGGACAAAUGCAGGAAGAAUGUGUACCUGGGCCAUCGUCGAUUUCUUCCGACCAACCAUCAAUGUCGAAAGAAAGGCAAGCAUUUCAAAGGCGAGGCAGAUCACCGGAAGAAGCCCGCCAUGUGCACCGGUGAUCACGUGCUUGCUAUGGUCAAUGAUUUACACUACGUAAUCUUUGGAAAGGGUCCCAGUGGACUAGUUGUUCCGAAUGACGCUGAGGGACACGCGCCCAUGUGGAAGAAGAAAUCUAUAUUUUGGGACCUACCCUACUGGAAAGACCUAGAGGUCUGCUCCUCAAUCGACGUGAUGCACGUGAUGAAGAACCUUUGCGUGAACCUACUAGGCUUCUUGGGCGUGUAUGGGAAGACAAAAGAUACACCUGAGGCACAGGAGGACCUGCAACGUUUGCACGAAAAAGACGGCAUGCCUCCGAAGCAGUAUAAAGGUCCUGCCAGCUACGCUCUUAUGAAAGAAGAGAAAGAAAUCUUCUUUGAAUGUCUGCUUAGUAUGAAGGUCACGACUGGCUUCUCGUCGAAUAUAAAGGGAAUAAUAAAUAUGCCAGAGAAAAAUUUUCAGAACCUAAAGUCUCAUGACUGCCGCAUGAUUAUGACGCAACUGCUUCCGGUUGCAUUGAGGGGGCUUCUACCGGAAAACGUCCGAUUAGCCAUUGUGAAGCUAUGUGCAUUCCUCAAUGCAAUCUCUCAGAAGGUGAUUGAUCCAGAAAUCGUACCAAGGCUAAGGAGCGAUGUGGCGCAAUUUCUUGUCAGUUUCGAGCUGGUGUUCCCACCAUCCUUCUUCAAUAUCAUGACGCACGUCCUAGUUCAUCUAGUCGACGAGAUUGUCAUCCUGGGCCCUGUAUUUCUACACAAUAUGUUCCCCUUUGAGAGGUUCAUGGGAGUCCUAAAGAAAUAUGUCCGUAACCGCGCUAGGACAGAAGGAAGCAUCUCCAUGGGCCAUCAAAUAGAGGAUGUUAUCGGGUUUUGUGUUGACUUCAUUCCUGGCCUUAACAAGAUAGGUCUCCCUAAAUCACGGUAUGAGGGGAGACUGACUGGAAAAAGGCACUCUUGGAAGAGACUCAAUAAUAUGCAGGGACGGAUAUUCUUGGUCUCAAGCACACUUCACAGUUCUACAGAACUCUACCUUGGUGACCCCGUAUGUCGAUGAACACAAGAACAGUCUGCGCUCCAAACACCUGGAGCAAUGCGACGACUGGAUUACAUGUGAACACAUCAGGACUUUCAGCAGUUGGUUGGAAACACGUCUCAGAGGUGACAACACUGUUUGUGAUGAGUUGUACUUGUUGUCCAGGGGACCAUCUUUGACUGUAUUGACUUACAAAGGAUACGAGAUAAAUGGGAAUACAUUUUACACGAUCGCCCAAGACCAAAAGAGCACCAACCGAAACAGCGGUGUCCGCUUUGAUGUAGCAACCGAGAGCGGAAAGGACACAUAUUAUGGUUAUAUAGUGGACAUAUGGGAACUUGACUACGGACCUGAUUUUAAGGUCCCUUUGUUUAAGUGCAAAUGGGUCAAUCUGUUAGGCGGCGAGGUACAGGUAGACCCACAGUACGGAAUGACAACAGUGGAUCUUAAAAAUCUUGGGUACACUGACGAACCUUCGUCCUAGCCAAUGAUGUGGCACAGGUUAUCUAUGUGAAGGACAUGUCUACCAAACCGAGAAAAAGAAAAAAUAAGGAAGCAAAUACAUCAUACGAUGAGCCAAAGCGCCACAUAGUUCUUUUAGUAAAAAGGGACAUCCUGGGAGUGGACGGCAAGACAGACAUGUCUGAAGAUUAUGAAAAGUUUCAUGAAAUUCCUCCCUUCAAUGUCAAGGCUGACCCAAGCAUCCUGAUAAACAAUGAAGAUUAUCCAUGGUUACGGCGCAAUAAGCAAAUGGCACAAGCGAAGAAAAAGUGAAGACUUUCUCCCGCAACUAUUAUGAUGAUACCAUGCCAAAUUUGUAACAGACGAACAUGCUACCAUUGUCCGUUUUGUACAUGCACAUGCUAUGUGGGUGAAAUUAUGAUACCAUCCCAACUUUCAACUUUUUCAGAGUUCAUUUGAAAUGCUUUCAUGUCUUAUGGUUCGAAACUUUGAUACUUCGAAAGUGAUUGUUAUGAAGUGCAUCAAGUUUUUGAAGUAACCCUCUCUACUUUUUGGAACAUGCUAUGUGGGUGAAAUGAUGAUACCAUGCCAACUUUCAACCUUUUCAGAGUUCAUUUUGAAAUGCUUUCCAAUUUCAGAGUCAUUUAGCUCAAAGAAUGAAUUAAUAGCAAACAGAAUAAACUACAAAACUUUUAUGAAAAUAAAAACAAUCAAUUAAAAUAUUAUGUUAUGAUCAACUAAAAUAAAACUAUAAUAUUCUUCAAUAGCAAAAAGAAUAUAAUUUUUGUGACCUAAAAUCAAACUAUAAGUAUUUAAUUGUAAGUAUAAAUAAAAAAUAAAUAGCAAAGAAGAAAAAAANNNNNNNNNNUGUUAGAUUAAUGUCGAAUGUUAGAUGAAUUAGAUAGAAAAGUUAAAUAUAUAGUAAUGUCAAUUGAAUAUAUAGUUAGAUAUAUUAAUGUCAAAUGUUAGAUGAAUAUAUAUUUGGCUAGAUAUAGGUGUUUAAUGUUUCACCUAUAUGAACAUAGGAAAUGUCAUCUGACAACGAAAAAGAUUUUAUUAUGUGCGAACACUGUGAAGACCAGCGCGGCCUGUGCGACCAAAAUUUCCUUGUUGAUGGUAGGCGCUUCAGCAUCAAGCUGGAUGAGACAUUCGAAGUUGAUACAGUAAGUCACUUUGUCAAUUAUUAUUUGAAUGCAAAACUUAUGCUUCAUUUGCUUCAACUUAUAAUUUUAAAUUUUCACUAUUCUACUAGCACAUCCCCUGCCAUGCAAGAAUUUUUGUCUUGGAUAAGAUAGGUUUCAGUGCUAUAGAUGAUAUGGAGGUAAAGAGAGUUUACUUGAAGACGCAACAUGGGUAUACUUUCAACAUCAAAUUAUAUAAUGGAGACACAUACACCCAUUUUGAAUGCAAAACUUGGCAAGCACUAUGCAAGGCUUAUGCAUUUGAGCCUGAUAUGGUUAUCACCUUUGAUAUUCGUCCGGAAAAUGAUAUUGAAGGUAAUAUAGACAUCUGGGUCGAUGUGCAAACGCCUCCAGUUCUACCAUUUGGUGAGUUUUUUUCAACCAUGCAUGCAUAUGUUUAUGUAUUUCAUACAGUUUAUUCAAAAAUAGUUGACAACUAUUUUGUAUUGUCAGCUUAUUUCGGUUCAAGCAAACAUGUCCGGCGCUUGGUAGACAGGACCUACUACUGCCCCGGGGCUCAACUAAACUGCGAGGAGAUAAGUCAUUAUGUUUCAUGGCUUGAGGAUCUUAAUACUGUCAAGACAAUAUUUUUCCUAAACUUAGAAAUGUUAGUACUCAAAACAUGCGACCAAUGGUGAUCGUAUUAAACUACGGUCACAUCUAUAAUCAAAAGAUGGUAAGAUUUUAAAUAUUUGUCCUUAAUUAGUGCAUCUUUUGCAUACAUUAUUUUGAAGCUAAACUUUCAUUGCUUAGUAUAUUAAUUACUAUACGAUGUUGUUCAACAGGGACUUCCGAUGACAGUUGUGCCUCAGUGGACCGAGACAUAAGGUCGCAUGUCAAUGGUUAGCUUACGACCAAGAUUUCCUAUAUUGCAUAUGAGUGCAUUCAGGAUUUCUAAAAGCGAAGAAUGCUUAAUAGUGAAAGAUUGGAGCAAAAUUGUUAACGAUCGCAGAGAAGUACUAGGGGGCAGUAAGGAGAAGCACAACCCAAGAUUAGGAGCCAGAUUCAUCUGCAUGCUCCAGUAUGAUGAAUCAGGAGAGCUAUACAUGUUCUAUGCUAUUCUACCUGAGAGGGAGCAGCAGGAUCAGUAGCUACUACUUCAUGCUCUUAAUUAGUACUUGUCUCAUGGAUCCGUGUCCUGAACUUCGAUGUUGGUGAUGAUUAUGUUGAACUUGAUGAUAUCUCUUUGCUUCUGUUACAAAGUGAAUGUUUCCUCUUUAAGCUAGCCAACGUUGAUGAUGAUUACAUAGCUAGCGGUAAUGACUAUGAUGAUUAAAUAGUGGUAAUUAGACGACCACGAUGAUUUUAGCUAGCUAGAGUUUAUUUAUUUAUUAAUAUGCGAUGAUGAUGAUGAUGAUGACAACUACAACUCAUUAUAACGUAAAACAAUCCUAAAUUAAAUUGAUAACACAAAUUUAAUUGAAA